RNAcentral lists this ribosomal RNA (274 nucleotides) under uncultured prokaryote. RNAcentral describes it as "partial 16S ribosomal RNA". It matches the Rfam family "Bacterial small subunit ribosomal RNA", at positions 524 to 798 of the family's 1533-position model. The record is from RNAcentral.
UACGUAGGGGCAAGCGUUAUCCGGAUUUACUGGGUGUAAAGGGAGCGCAGACGGCAGUGCAAGUCUGAUGUGAAAGCCCGGGGCUCAACCCCGGAACUGCAUUGGAAACUGUACAGCUUGAGUGUCGGAGAGGUAAGCGGAAUUCCUAGUGUAGCGGUGAAAUUCGUAGAUAUUAGGAGGAACACCGGUGGCGAAGGCGGCUUACUGGACGAUGACUGACGUUGAGGCUCGAAAGCGUGGGGAGCAAACAGGAUUAGAUACCCUGGUAGUCCCU